Molecule: ribosomal RNA, 406 nt
Filed under: uncultured bacterium
Lineage: Bacteria
Description: partial 16S ribosomal RNA
Rfam family: Bacterial small subunit ribosomal RNA
Source: RNAcentral
AUUGAACGCUGGCGGCAGGCUUAACACAUGCAAGUCGAACGAGUGGCGGACGGGUGAGUAAUGCUUGGGAAUCUAGCUUAUGGAGGGGGAUAACUACGGGAAACUGUAGCUAAUACCGCGUACCAUAGGAUGAGCCCAAGUGGGAUUAGGUAGUUGGUGAGGUAAAGGCUCACCAAGCCGACGAUCUCUAGCUGGUCUGAGAGGAUGACCAGCCACACGGGGACCGGGCCACGGCCCAGACUCCUACGGGAGGGAGCAGUGGGGAACAUUGCGCAAUGGGCGAAUGCCUGAUGCAGCGACGCCGCGUGGGGGAUGAAGGCUUUCGGGUUGUAAACCUCUUUCGCUAUCGAACGGGUAGGUGGAGAAGAAGCGCCGGCUAACUACGUGCCAGCAGCCGCGGUAAUAC